AUUGCCUCAGUAACGGCGAGUGAAGCGGCAACAGCUCAAAUUUGAAAUCUGGCGCUUUCAGCGUCCGAGUUGUAAUUUGUAGAGGAUGUUUCGGCCACGACCCCGGGUUAAAUUUCUUGGAACAGAAUGUCAUAGAGGGUGAGAACCCCGUCUUGACCUGGGCGUACGGGCCAUGUGGAACUCCUUCGACGAGUCGAGUUGUUUGGGAAUGCAGCUCAAAAUGGGUGGUAAAUUUCAUCUAAAGCUAAAUAUUGGCAGAGACCGAUAGCGCACAAGUAGAGUGAUCGAAAGAUGAAAAGCACUUUGAAAAGAGAGUUAAACAGUAUGUGAAAUUGUUGAAAGGGAAGCGCUUGCAACCAGACUUGAGCGCGGCGGUUCACCCUGGCUUCUGCCUGGGCUACUCCGCCGUGUCCAGGCCAACAUCGGUUUCGGGGGUUGGUUAAAGGCUUGGGGAAUGUAUCUACCCUUCGGGGUCGACUUAUAGCCCCAGGUGUCAUGCGACCUCCCGGGACCGAGGAACGCGCUUCGGCUCGGAUGUUGGCGUAAUGGUUGUCAGCGACCCGUCUGGAAAA
This 572-nucleotide ribosomal RNA is filed under the name uncultured fungus. RNAcentral describes it as "eukaryotic LSU rRNA". It matches the Rfam family "Eukaryotic large subunit ribosomal RNA", at positions 74 to 660 of the family's 3401-position model. The record is from RNAcentral. Lineage: Eukaryota; Fungi.